RNAcentral lists this ribosomal RNA (497 nucleotides) under uncultured bacterium. Its description in RNAcentral is "partial 16S ribosomal RNA". It matches the Rfam family "Bacterial small subunit ribosomal RNA", at positions 28 to 507 of the family's 1533-position model. The record is from RNAcentral.
GAUGAACGCUGGCGGCGUGCCUAAUACAUGCAAGUCGAGCGAACGGACGAGAAGCUUGCUUCUCUGAUGUUAGCGGCGGACGGGUGAGUAACACGUAGAUAACCUACCUAUAAGACUGGGAUAACUUCGGGAAACCGGAGCUAAUACCGGAUAAUAUUUUGAACCGCAUGGUUCAAAAGUGAAAGACGGUCUUGCUGUCACUUAUAGAUGGAUCCGCGCUGCAUUAGCUAGUUGGUAAGGUAACGGCUUACCAAGGCAACGAUGCAUAGCCGACCUGAGAGGGUGAUCGGCCACACUGGAACUGAGACACGGUCCAGACUCCUACGGGAGGCGGCAGUAGGGAAUCUUCCGCAAUGGGCGAAAGCCUGACGGAGCAACGCCGCGUGAGUGAUGAAGGUCUUCGGAUCGUAAAACUCUGUUAUUAGGGAAGAACAUAUGUGUAAGUAACUGUGCACAUCUUGACGGUACCUAAUCAGAAAGCCACGGCUAACUACGUG